This 2263-nucleotide long non-coding RNA is filed under the name Citrus maxima (pomelo). RNAcentral's name for it is "long non-coding RNA (CMAX_LNC002494)". Lineage: Eukaryota; Viridiplantae; Streptophyta; Magnoliopsida; Sapindales; Rutaceae. The record is from RNAcentral.
ACUUUUCUAGCUCGCCACCACCGCACUUAUGAAGCCAACCAUCACCGUCUUCACGAUUCAAGCAGUCAGUAGCCAGCCACCAUCAUCACUUACUCAUAAUUCAAGUAUCCACCACCAUUAACCACUACUCGUCUCCUGCCAUCAUUUGUCGUUAUUGUCACGCCAGUGGAGGUGAGUAUUACUGAGUUGUGUUCAAUUUGUUUUAUUAUUUACUAUUGUUUGAUAUUUUUUCCCUUAAUCAUGUCUUUUUAUUUGUGAUUACAAGAUUAAGAUAAGUUUAUUGAAACUUUGAUUUUUGAAACUGGUUUUGGGAAUUCUUUUUCACAGGAAUAAUUCAAUUCGAUUUUAUAAAUCAAUAUCGAACUAAAUAAAUAAAAUAGGUGAAUGGUAUCAUUCUUUGUUCUAUAGGUAUUUGUUAAUCUAUUUAAUUAUUUAGUUAAAAUUAACAUAAUAGGCAUCAAUUAUUAAACAUAAUAGGCAUCAAUUAUUACAUCGCCAUCAAUCCAUUCUCCUGGCAUAAAAACGUGUUGCUUUGAGUUGUACUACUGUGUCCUUUAUCCACCAUGACUUCCUUUUUACCAUGAAAGACAAUGUCAUUUCAACAAAUAUUACCAAAAUAAGGAUAUUUAUACAUAAUUUACAAAUACACUAGUUGUAAAAACAUUUCAUAUAUAUCAGAUCAUAUAUUUCAUUUAAUUUGUCAUAAAAAAGGUAAAGAAUAAGUCGUUUUGCAACCUUGAAAAGUGGGGUGGGAAUAAUGAACAGCCAGCAAAGAAUCACAGUUUAGCAAAUUUACAAAUGACAUUCUUUUCUAGAGAAUGUCGAAUAUCCCCAGCCUAUGAAUAACACAAAAUACAUUUUACAUUAGUAUAGUAAUGUCACCAAGUGCAAUAAAACGGUAAAUACAUAAAGCAAUUGUAACAAAUACACGUCACUACCUUAUAUUCCUUAGGAAUCACUUUUGAUGUUUCUUGGUCCAUUUCCAAUUAUUUUGAUUGAAAUGUAUCAUUGCUUUCACCAUCCAAAGACCCUUCUAAUCUAUAUAACAAAUCAUGUAACCGCCUUUCCUUUGAGUUUUAGAUGGAAUCAUCAUAAGGACUAGCUCGACGACAUGAAAUUGAACCUUCAGUCGAUGUGAUUUACACAACUAAAGUGCCACCAUUUUUUUCUUGCAAACAAACAAAAUCGGGGAAUGGAUUUUGAAUGUCACAUGUGCUGAGAUGAUUGACAGGAGAUGAAGAUGGCCAUUGGUUUUCCUUAUAUGUAAUACUUCAUUUAGAAGUGUAGUUUGAUCAGCCAUGCCUCAUCAACCUUAAGGGUCAAUAUCCUAGAUGCAAAAUAUUACUUCUUAAUUAUUUCUUCACUAUUAGUAUACCCAACACUGUUUUGCUGAAAGAGUCCGCUAGUGUCAACAUAAUGCAUCUUGACCUAUUUAAUCACAAAAUGAAUUACAUCAAAUAACUAGGAAAAUGUCAAUAUGUCAAAUUAGGAAAAAAUUAUAAUGAAGUAUGAAUUUUUACAGUAUUGAUACUGUUUUUUCCUUUUUUUUUUUUAAUUGUCCAUUGGAUUUAAGGGUCAAUAUCUCUAUCCUUCAUUUUAAUGAAUGAGAACUAGUUAUAUGGGUAAUAAGUAACCACCUUAUCUUUUUAAUAAUUAAAAACAAAUUAUUCCUUUAAUUAUUUGUAGAAAUUUAUUUUAGAUCAUUGUAAAAAAAAAAAAUACUACCAGGUGAAGAUAAUUCGUAUAAAUUGAAAUAUAAAAUUGUUUAACUUAAAAGUUUUUUUUUUCAAAUUUUUUUUUAUAACAAACUCAAAAAUGUAUUAAUGAAGAAGAUGAAAAACAUAAACUGAACCAGCUGUCCACUUAGAAAACAAAGACUAGCACUAGUUGUGGCAACAAAGGUGUACCCAAUCACUACUAAAGUGUUUUUUUUUUUUUUAAUUUUUACUUGUAUUUUUUUUAAACAUCAACUAUAUGAAUAUAUAAUAGAUUUUAGUUUUAGAUAUUGUAAUUUAAAAACUAAAUGCGAAAUUAAACAUGAGUGAUAUAUCAAGAAAUUUAUGAUAAUCUAUUAGCUUAUUUGAAAUAAAAUUAUGAAUGAAUUGACAUAGAGAAUGAAUUCAUGUAUGUAAUCUCUAAUGCAAAUAAUAUUCUAUUUUAAAAAAUAUUAAGCGCCCUACAAGAAAAGAUUACCUUAUCACUUCUAAUCCCUCCUAUAAAUCUAAGCCACUUCAUGAACUUUCUGAUCUUCGAUUCAUUCCAG